AUUGAACGCUGGCGGCAGGCCUAACACAUGCAAGUCGAGCGGAUGAGAGGAGCUUGCUUCUCGAUUCAGCGGCGGACGGGUGAGUAAUGCCUAGGAAUCUGCCUGGUAGUGGGGGACAACGUUUCGAAAGGAACGCUAAUACCGCAUACGUCCUACGGGAGAAAGCAGGGGACCUUCGGGCCUUGCGCUAUCAGAUGAGCCUAGGUCGGAUUAGCUAGUUGGUGAGGUAAUGGCUCACCAAGGCGACGAUCCGUAACUGGUCUGAGAGGAUGAUCAGUCACACUGGAACUGAGACACGGUCCAGACUCCUACGGGAGGAAGCAGUGGGGAAUAUUGGACAAUGGGCGAAAGCCUGAUCCAGCCAUGCCGCGUGUGUGAAGAAGGUCUUCGGAUUGUAAAGCACUUUAAGUUGGGAGGAAGAGUUGUAGAUUAAUACUCUGCAAUUUUGACGUUACCGACAGAAUAAGCACCGGCUAACUCUGUGCCAGCCGCCGCGGUAA
RNAcentral lists this ribosomal RNA (500 nucleotides) under uncultured bacterium. RNAcentral's name for it is "partial 16S ribosomal RNA". It matches the Rfam family "Bacterial small subunit ribosomal RNA", at positions 30 to 523 of the family's 1533-position model. The record is from RNAcentral.